AUUUGAGUAGCUUAAAUUUAAAGCCUAAUAUUGAAGCUAUUAUGAUAAGGUUACCCUUCUCAAAUA
Molecule: transfer RNA, 66 nt
Filed under: Dicranocephalus femoralis
Lineage: Eukaryota; Metazoa; Arthropoda; Insecta; Hemiptera; Stenocephalidae
Description: tRNA-Phe
Source: RNAcentral